Homo sapiens (human) is the source of this 61-nucleotide small nuclear RNA. The record is from Ensembl. Lineage: Eukaryota; Metazoa; Chordata; Mammalia; Primates; Hominidae.
AAGCGUUACAGCUCUUUUAGAAUUGUCUAGCAGGCUUUCCAGUUUUUGCUGGAAAGCCCCU